RNAcentral lists this ribosomal RNA (253 nucleotides) under uncultured bacterium. RNAcentral describes it as "partial 16S ribosomal RNA". It matches the Rfam family "Bacterial small subunit ribosomal RNA", at positions 524 to 776 of the family's 1533-position model. The record is from RNAcentral.
UACAGAGGUCCCGAGCGUUGUUCGGAUUCAUUGGGCGUAAAGGGUGUGUAGGUGGUUGGGCAAGUCAGAUGUGAAAUCCCGUCGCUUAACGACGGAAUGGCAUUUGAUACUGCCUGACUAGAGGAUCGGAGGGGGCAACGGAAUUCUUGGUGUAGCAGUGAAAUGCGUAGAUAUCAAGAGGAACACCGGUGGCGUAGGCGGUUGCCUGGAAGAUUCCUGACUCUGAAACACGAAAGCCAGGGGAGCAAACGGG